GCCGCCAUGGUGAAAUUGGUAGACACGCUGCUCUUAGGAAGCAGUGCUAGAGUUUCUCGGUUCGAGUCCGAGUGGCGGCA
RNAcentral lists this transfer RNA (80 nucleotides) under Chamaegastrodia inverta. RNAcentral describes it as "tRNA-Leu". It matches the Rfam family "tRNA". Rfam says of the family: Transfer RNA (tRNA) molecules are approximately 80 nucleotides in length. The record is from RNAcentral. Lineage: Eukaryota; Viridiplantae; Streptophyta; Magnoliopsida; Asparagales; Orchidaceae.